GAUGAACGCUGGCGGCGUGCCUAAUACAUGCAAGUCGAACGAGGUGCUUGAGUAGCAAUACAAGAGUAUCCUAGUGGCGAACGGGUGAGUAACGCGUGGGUGACCUGCCCCGAAGUGUGGGAUAACAGUCCGAAAGGAUUGCUAAUACCUCAUGUGGUUAUCGGAUUUAGAAACUGAUAACUAAAGCAGCAAUGCGCUUUGGGAGGGACCUGCGUCCCAUCAGCUAGUUGGUGAGGUAAUGGCUCACCAAGGCUACGACGGGUAGGGGACCUGAGAGGGUGGCCCCCCACAAUGGAACUGAAACACGGUCCAUACACCUACGGGUGGCAGCAGUAGGGAAUAUUGCACAAUGGGCGAAAGCCUGAUGCAGCAACGCCGCGUGUGNGAUGAAGGCCUUCGGUCGUAAAGCACUUUCUGAGAGAUGAG
Molecule: ribosomal RNA, 426 nt
Filed under: uncultured bacterium
Lineage: Bacteria
Description: bacterial SSU rRNA
Rfam family: Bacterial small subunit ribosomal RNA
Source: RNAcentral